CGUAAAGCGCAUGCAGGUGGUUUGUUAAGUCAGAUGUGAAAAGCCCGGGGCUCAACCUCGGAAUUGCAUUUGAAACUGGCAAACUAGAGUACUGUAGAGGGGGUAGAAUUUCAGGUGUAGCGGUGAAAUGCGUAGAGAUCUGAAGGAAUACCGGUGGCGAAGGCGGCCCCCUGGACAGAUACUGACACUCAGAUGCGAAAGCGUGGGGAGCAAACAGGAUUAGAUACCCCUGGUAG
RNAcentral lists this ribosomal RNA (236 nucleotides) under uncultured bacterium. Its description in RNAcentral is "partial 16S ribosomal RNA". It matches the Rfam family "Bacterial small subunit ribosomal RNA", at positions 559 to 793 of the family's 1533-position model. The record is from RNAcentral.